GUAUAUAUCAUAUAUGCAUAUUUUGAUUUGAUUAUAAAAUAUAUGUUAUUCUAUGAAAAAAAUCUUAAUACGAAUUGGAUUUGGACUCUCAGUGUGGCUAUGUUUUGAAUCCUUGAGGAAUAUGCAUUGAUAUACUAACUAUUACUGAGCUCAGGAUUCUAUUUAUGGCCUAGCUACAUAAUAUAAAUAUAGUAUUUCGAUCCCACCAUAGGAUGCAAGUGUAGUAUUUCGAUCCAAUCAUAAAAUAUAAGUGUGAU
Molecule: long non-coding RNA, 257 nt
Filed under: Elaeis guineensis (African oil palm)
Lineage: Eukaryota; Viridiplantae; Streptophyta; Magnoliopsida; Arecales; Arecaceae
Description: long non-coding RNA (EGUI_LNC024134)
Source: RNAcentral